Molecule: long non-coding RNA, 41592 nt
Filed under: Gossypium barbadense (sea-island cotton)
Lineage: Eukaryota; Viridiplantae; Streptophyta; Magnoliopsida; Malvales; Malvaceae
Description: long non-coding RNA (GBAR_LNC017187)
Source: RNAcentral
UAUUUUCUUUUUGAUUUCGAUACAAAAAAAAAUUUGCUAAACUCGUUACAAAGAUCGAUUGGCCUUUAUAUAGCUGAAUAAAAAAAAAACAAGCCCUCGAAAACUUCCCCGCAUUUACAAUUUUGUCAUAUUUUUUGCCAUUAUCGAUUGUUUGUUGCAUGUGUAUGGAAAACGUGCGUUGUGCGGGGCUACUGGACGUGCGAGCAAGAACGUGGAGCAACGGGACAGUUGCUGUGACAUGAGGACGUGUGCGGCGCUGGGAAAAUUGCCUGGGGUUUCUGCUGAUCUUUGAACUUUUUGGGCCACUCUGUAAUUGGGCUAGGGUUAAUGGUUUGGUCUUUAUUGGGUUGAAUUGGUUUAAUGGGUUUAGGUUAUUUGUAAAAAUGGAUUAUGUAUUUAUUUGGGCCCGGGAAAAAAUGGCCUAUUACAGCUGCCCCUCUUUGCUCGUUGUCGUGUAACGAGAACAGAGAAAAGACUUUAAAAAUGACCAAUUUUUGCCCGGUUGUGCUAGACCUUAGCGCUCUUCUUCUUCUUCAAAUAGCCUCAUUCCUUCCUACUGCAUCUUCAGAGGUAUAGGAACUAGUGCUUCAAUCCACUCCACUGCAACGUCAGGGAGAUAGGACUUGUAUCUUGUAGCUUCUCAAAAGAAUAAAAUUUGCUAUCUCUAGUUUACUCCGUUGCAACUUCGGGGAGAUAGGACUUGAUGCGAUCUGCUCUCUGCAACCUCAGAAAGAUAAGAUCUGGAUGUUAAUCCGCUCUACUGUAACUUCAGGGAGAGAGGAUUAGUUUCUUCUGUCUGCUCCACUGCAACUUCAGGGAGAUAAGACUUAAUGUGAUCUGCUUUCUGCAACCUCAGAAAGAUAAGAUCUGGAUGUUAAUCCGCUCCACUGCAACUUCAGGGAGAUAGGAUUAGUUUCUUCUGUCUGCUCCACUACAACUUCAGGGAGAUAAGACUUGAUGUGAUCUGCUCUCUGCAACCUCAGAAAGAUAAGAUCUGGAUGUUAAUCCACUCCACUGCAACUUCAGGGAGAUAGGAUUAGUUUCUUCUGUCUGCUUCACUGCAACUUCAAGGAGAUAAGACUUGAUGUGAUCUGCUCUCUAUAACCUCAGAAAGAUAAGAUCUGUGAUUUAAUUCACUCCACCGCAACUUCAGGGAGAUAUGAUUAGGUUUUUAGUCUACUCCACUGCAACUUCAGGGAGAUAAGACUUAACGUAAUCUGCUCUCUGCAACCUCAGAGAGAUAAGAUUCGAAUGUCAAUCCGCUCCACUGCAACCUCAGGGAGAUAGGAUUAGUUUCUUCAGUCUGUUCUCUAGGGAACAUGACCUGUAUAAUUCAUAUUUAUGAACCUAAUUAUGCCUAAUGAUUAGGAUGUCAUGAUCAAAAUGAAUCACAUGCUCCUAACUAGACAUGUAUGAAUGACAUAUGAAUGGAUGUAGAAUGUCAUUUUAUGAGAAUGACCCCACUCGUCAUCAUCACUCAAAAUUCAUUAAAGCCGUACCACUGACGCACUACAACGUCCCCUUACUCGGCUAACAUCUCCAAAAAUCAUUUGAUCAGAUUGCCCCACUAUGAAUUUCCAAGUUUAAUCUUCUGGGAUGCAACAUUGGUACCAUCUUUCUCUAGCUGUAACCCAAGGGUAAAAAAAAAUCUGGCCUCUCAAUCUUCUCUUAUCGCAAGGUGAAGCACUUUGGUCCUUUAUACCAUUCUCAAGGUGUCAUACCAAAUGCCUAUGCACAAAUGAAGAAUUUCUUUCUCCGAGGAAACCUUUUCUUAUUGUAACGUGAUCAUUUCUUGCUUGUUCAUUGAUGCUUUGUCACCAACACGACAUCUUGUCACUUUAUUCAAUCAAUGAUUUGACAACAAAAUAUGAAGGAAUAGUCUCAAUUUAGACCUUUCCUUCCCAGAUAUUUCAACCUUUAAACCUGGUGUAUUCUAAAUAAUAAUCUUGUUUCAGGUUCCCAUAUUAUUUAGAAACUUCCAAAGUAAUAUGCAAAAUUUCCUUUGUAAAAAGUUUUAUUAGUCUAUUAAUCGUUAUUCUAAUGCAAUAUGCUUUGCUAGAACUGAAUAAAUAGAAUUGAAUUAAGAGCAUAGCUCGAAAUGAAUAAAUUAUCAAUAAUAUUGAGAAUAAAAGAGGAAUUGACUCGUAUCUUGAAAAAGAAUAAAGUAUUCCAAGAAUAAGUAAUUCAAUAUAAAUAAUAUGAAGGUUAGGUGCCCCAGAUAUCGCAGUUUGAACUUCUCUGCACAAACUUCCUGAAGACCACUCUGAAUCCGACACGUGCUUUAGAAGAUCUACAGUACUCUGUCGAUGCCCCAAGAUGUUGCGUCCCCUUUCCACUGAUUCAAUCAUUGCAAGAUUACCGGAUGUGUUACCUGAUCAGCAUUUGAGCCGCCCUUUUUCGGGUUUUCAACUCAAAUCCCCUUUGGUCUCAAAAUGCCCUUUACGGGUUUUCAAAAUUAUAUUUGAAUAUUUGUUUUAUAUUGCAUUGACUUUUUUAACACAUUUUUCAAAUACAUUUUGAUUUUGUCAAAAAAAACAUUAAAACCAUUUUUUAUGAUUUAAAGGUUUUCAAAAUAAAAAACGAUAUUCAAAGUUAGGGAUUUUCGAGGAAAAUUGAGCCCUAACGUAUUGGGUUCCGGUUUUCUUUGUUAAUUCCAAAUAACCGAGAAUAUUCGUUAUUUAAAAUAUAAACAAAAAUCAUUUUCGGGAAUUCGAUAUGUUAUGUCCUAACGCAUUGGGCAUAACAUAUUAUUUUCUCGAAAUGAAGAUUUUCUUUAAAAAAAAUAAUUAAAAAGCGAUAUUCAAAAUUCGGGGAUUUUGAGAAAUUGUACCCUAACGUAUUGGGUCUCAAUUUCUUCACAUGACUUGAAUAAUUGAUUAUCCCUUUCAGAUUUCAAAAUUUGAGCUUAACAAAAUCUUUUUAAUUUUCAACACCAAGACAUUAAACAAUCAAUUUGGUACCGAUUUUUGGGCGUUACGAGGGUGCUAAUCCUUCCUCGUGCGUAACUGACUCCCGAACCCGUUUUCUCAAAUUUCGCAGGCUAAAUUUGUUUUUAAGGUGGGCCGAUCACACCUCAAUCAAGGAUCGGUGGUGACUCCAAUUUUUAUUCUUAAAGUCGGUAACAAAAUAUUUUGUUUUCAAAAAAAUAGUUUCGACAGCUUGGCGACUCCACUGGGGACUUCGAGAGUCGAGCCAUAAAUUGAUUAUUUGGUGUCUUUUUGUCGAAAAUUAAAGUUUUUUUUUAAAAAAAUCAUAAUUUUCCUUUGCAUUCAUUGAUUUUCAUUGUUUGCUUGUUUGGCUUAAGUCUGUUAUCUUAUUUGCAUUUUGCAUCUCAUAACAUCAGUUGUUUUUACCCCUCUAAGUGGGAGUGAGAAGCUACUCAUUCGUGAGGUUUUCACCUCCGUGCAAGAUAGUGGAUCACUUUCGGGAUACAUCACUUAUGUCUUCGUGAGAUUUUCAUCUCCGUGCAGCCAUAAGGAAAUGUAUUCCCCUGAACCGAACUCGGUCCAUAUGAGCCUAUAAUGGGUGAGGAUCGAGGAAUCUGUUGGUUCGGGUACCUUUUCUCUAGAAGCCAAACCUCAUAUAGUGGACCUUUAGGAACUCACCCUAGGUAGACUUACUCUUAACCUUAGUAGAUACCUAAUUAGGAGUUUUACUAUUUAUUGGUUAUAUUGUAUUUAAUUGAUGCUGACUUUUUGUGUUUUACUUUGAUUGCAUGACAUUUCAAUUACAUGGCAUCUCAUUAUAGAAAGGCGUUGGUUCACAUUCGAUUGCUAAAUAGAAAGCUUAUCAUGGGAAAUAGGUUUCUUGAUAGAGUGGAAGAUAAUGUGGCUGUCCGAACUUGGGCUGAAAUCACACAGCGCGAGAAAGGUGAUAGCUUGGCCGAGGGGUACAUAUCUGAAUUGUGGGACUUCACCCGUGUUAGCGUAACCCAGAACAACUUGCAGGAGUUGAAAGAAAUUUGGGAGCAGUGUAAUGAUGAGGUUAGACAGUUAUUUUAUUCAAAUUAUGGGGAUUUGCCUUAUUUGCUUGAUAUGAAGGUGGAUAAGCAUCUCUUUCGGGCUCUCGCACAAUUUUGGAACCCCGCUUAUAGUUGUUUCACGUUUGGGAGGGUUAAUUUGGUGCCUACAAUAGAAGAAUACACGGGUUUACUUCGGUGUUCGAAGAUUCAAGUGGAUAAGGUUUAUUCGAAUGCUAUAAAUGCACCGACCUUUUUGAAGAGGUUGAUGAAUAUAACGGGGAUGAGUGAGCAGUGGGUUACAGCUCGGAUCAGGCAAAAGGGAGAUAGCAACUGUAUUCCCUGGAAAAUUUUGAAGGAUCUCAUUCUAGCGCACCCGGAUGCAAGGAAGAAGGUAGAUGUCUUUGCUUUAAGUAUAUAUGGUUUGGUUAUGUUCCCUAAGACUUCGGGGCAUGUUGACGAGGCAGUCACUGACUUAUUUGAUCGGCUUGAAAAGAGAGUUACACCAGUCCCGACAAUUUUGGCAGAAACCUUCAGGUCACUGAAUGCAUGCCGGAGAGCGGGAGAGGGUAGCUUUAUUGGAUGUGCGCAGCUCUUACUUGUAUGGUUCUAUAGUCACUUUUGGAAGGUCGAUAAGGUUUCAUAUCGGGUCUUCUCUAACAAUUAUUCACCAUUGAAAGAGAUAGUGGCUACACCGAGGAGGGAUGACAUCUUGGAAGAGAAAUGGAUGGUUAUUUUUCAAAAUUUGCAGGAGGACAAUAUCAAGUGGAGAGCCCCAUGGUUGCUUCCAGGUGAGAUCCUAUAUCGAUGUGGGGAUUUUGACUGGGUUCCUUUGAUUGGGAUUUGGGGAGCCGUUGGUUAUGCACCAUUGCUAGUACUUAGGCAAUACAGGUCAAGACAGUUCGUGCCUGCAACUCAGGGAUUGGCCGAGUGUGACUUCUUGUAUAGGGCCGAUGGUUACAAGAGGAGGGUUCGUGAGAUGGUCAGUGCAUGGAAUCAGACUCGCCGAAUAAAGGGAUUAGCUGUGGGUCCGAUAACAACUCCCGAGUACGACGAAUGGUGAGCUUAGAGGAUUAACGAUAACAUUCCUGGGCCGGGUUCAGAAGAUAGUCAGCCAAUACAGGAGUACUUGCGUGUUGUCCCUACUGAGCUGGAAAUUAUAAAGCAAGACUUCAAAGGAAAAAUGUAGAAUUAGAGAGGAAAAUCGAGCAGAUGGAGGAAGAAAAAGUGAAUUUGAGACUAGAUGCCGAUGUUCAGAAGCUCAAUGCUGAUAAACUAAGGAAGGAGAAGCACAAAGCUGAGGAAGAGUUAGAUAGCUUGAAGACUGAUUACAAGAAGCUGCGUCUGUCCAUGAGAACUGCCGGGCUUGGAAAGACUUCAGAGCAGUGGCGUGAAGAAAUUCGAGAGGAAAGAAACAAGUCAGACCGAUGGGAAAGAAAAUUCCAAGAAGUGCAAGCACGAAAUGAAACCUUGGAGAAGAGCUUGUCAGAGAGUCAAAAGGAAAAAGGAAAACUAAAGGACAGAGUUAUUGAGUUAGAAGGGUCUCUCCGUCAACACAGAAGUCGAAAUUCUGUAAUAGAGCUGAAAGCAAGUCUGAGCAAGAUUGAAGAAAUGAAGGGUAAAAUAGAAGAGUUGGAAGCAGCAUUACGAAGUUGUGAGGGUCGGAUCGAGCAUCUAGAGGUAAAGGAAGGUCGUCAGAAUGAGCAACUUCAUUAUUUCAAAGAUCAAGUCAGAAAUAGGGAUCGCGUUAUGGGAGAGGCUGUGGUGCAGAUUUGUGAAGUGGCAGAUCACUUGCAAACUUUGGCGGUACAAGCAGACACAUUGAGCGUAAAGUAUGAGCUAGAGUCAGAUCGAGGGCAAGAAUUAGCAUCGUUGCUUAAAAAGAUCAAGGUCUUAAGUAUUAGGGCAAAGCCAUAUUUGUAGCCCAUUCUAUGUAAAGAGAUUUAUUUUCUAAUAAAGUUUCUGAAAGUAAUUGAAAUUAGAAUCAACGCCUUCUCUGCAUUCAUUUUCACAUAUCGCAUUGCAUGCAUUAAAAAAUUAUCAAAGGGUUCUGAUUAAUCAAAAUUAAAAAAUAUGGACCAAAGGUUGGAAAAGCUCGAAGGAUUCCAAAAAGAAAUGUAAGAUCAGCUUCAGCAGCAAAUGAAGGAGCAACUCGAAAAGGUUCAACUAAGUUUGAUGAAUAAAAUGGAGGAAUCACAAGGAAGUAUGAUGACAAAGUCGACGCGAUUGUUGACUGAAGGAAAGGAUAAAGGAAAGAGCCCUGUAACAAAUAUUGAAGAGGAAGGUGAUGAUGGACUCCAGUAUCAUCUAGGCUUCACUCCUUUACAUGUGCAGCACCAAGCGGAAGUGUACCCGCGUAAAUCUUCUGUUACGAUCAGGCCUCAGCAAUUUCAAGCCGAUGCUUCAAGAUCGAUGAAUUUUCAAGCCAGAUCAGGCUCCAGUCCUAAGAAUAAUCCUGCCAAUCUUAUUAUUCCUGAUUUCGAUGAAGCAGUUGAAAAAGAGAAAACAAAAGAAGAAUUACCAAAGCAAUUGGAAGAAAGAUGGAAGUGGAUUGAGGAAAAAUUCAAAGCAAUAGAAAGUACUAAAAGAUGCCAUGGGAUUUAAGUUUGGUACCGGAUUUAGUACUUCCGUACAAGUUUAAAAUGCAGGAUUUCGAGAAGUAUAAUGGGACCACCUGCCCUGAAGCCCACAUUACUAUGUUUUGUAGACGAAUGACUGGGUAUGUCAAUAACGACCAGUUAUUGAUACACUGUUUUCAAGAUAGCCUCGCGGGGGCAGCGUCUAAAUGGUAUAAUCAAUUAAGCCGUGCUAAGAUUAGCUCUUGGAGGGAUUUAGCACAGGCUUUUAUGAAGCAGUAUGGGCAUGUGGCGGAAAUGGUUCCUGAUAGGAUCACUUUACAAAAUAUGGAGAAAAAGUCGAAUGAAGGUUUUAGACAAUAUGCUCAGUGGUGGAGAGAGGUGGCAGUGCAGGUCCAACCACCGCUUCUUGAAAGAGAAAUGACGAUGCUCUUUGUAAAUAAGCUAAAGGCCCCUUUCAUCACACACAUGCUAGGCAGUGCUGUAACAGCCCGAUUCUGGGCCUAGUCGGAAUAGUGGUUUCGGGACCACAAAUCCGACGAGGGAAAAUAUGGUUAUUAUUAUAUUUUUAUGAUCUACAAUUUCACGGAAAAUUUUCGUAAAAAUUUCGUUCGAAAAUUUCGACGUUUGGGCACUCAAUUUAGUCAAAAGGACUAAAUUGUAAAUAGUGCAAAAGUUGAGUUCUACAUCUUAGAGGUGUCUAAUUGUUAUGAAAUUUUAAAUUGGAGGUCUUUAUGUGGUAAUUAGACCAUUAGUUAGUUGAUGGACAAAAAUAGACAUAAGAAAUGGGUGAAAUAGAUUUUUUUUAAAUGGGGGCAUUUUAGUCAUUUGGUUAUUAAAUAGAAUUAAAUGGGAAAAAGAUGGCAAAAUAUGCUCAUCUUCUUCAUGGUGAACGAAAUCAGCAAGGGGGAAGCCAUAUUUAGGGUUUUUAAGCUUUCAAGCUCCAUAAUCAAGAAAGACGUGAAGAGUAUAUCAAACGGGGAAAAGAAAAGAUAGGGGAGUAAAGUGCAAAAUUACGAUAUUUUGCACCGAGGUAAGUAAACACGUGACUUAAUGUAUUAUUUUGAUAUUAUUUGAUAUAUGUUGAGAUUUAUUUGGAAUUAAAAUAAAUGUUUGGCCAUAUCCUAAAAAUGUUGUUAAAUCGGGAAAGGUGGUAAAGGGUUGCAAUAUAUGGUUUAUGGGUUGAACACUCGGAAUAAGCCGGAGUAUGUUGUAUAUAAAGGGGUUGCUGUGUGCUGAUUCCCCGAUUCAUUGGUGGUGCUAUGUGCGUGAUCCACCAUAUCUUUGAAAUGUGAAAAGGGGGUUGCUAUGUGCUGAUUCCCCCGAGGGGUUGCUAAGUGCUGAUUCCCCGGUUCAUUGGUGGUGCUAUGUGCGUGAUCCACCAUAUCUUUGAAAUGUGAAAAGGGGGUUGCUAUGUGCUGAUUCCCCCGAGGGGUUGCUAAGUGCUGAUUCCCCGGUUCAUUGGUGGUGCUAAGUGCGAUAUCCACCAUAUCUUUGAAAUGUGAAAGGGGGUUGCUAUGUGCUGAUUCCCCGAUUCAGCGGUGGUGCUAAGUGCGAGAUCCACCAAUAACGGUUAACAUUCCAAGUGUUCAACGAAAAAGUGUGGAAGAUGAAUAUUUCCAUAUGGUGGAAAAUUUUAUGGGGUAAAUAUUGAGUUGAAUACUAAAUCGACCCAUGUAUGAGAUGGGAGAAAAUAUCAAAAACGCAAAAGGAACGAUUUAAUUAUAAACUGUGUUGAACAACAGCAGUUGGGUAACUUUGAAAAAUCACCAUAAAUGGUGGAAAAUGAAUGGGAAGCUUAAUAAUAUAUGAAAUUGAAGCUGAAUGUGUCUAUUUUCAUAUGAAAGAAAUAGAAUAAGCAAAAGAGUUGUAUUUUUGGAGAUAUCUGAAUUUUACUGAAACAGGGCUGGAUUGAUUUCGAGAUCCCCUGUUCUAACUUUGGAAAAUUACCAAAAAUUGAAAAAAAAUAAUUAUGGCAUGAAAUUUAUAUCCCUGGAAUCCUUAUUGAGUCUAUUUUUAUUAGAAACAAGAAAAACCAUUUUUCAAAUUUUGUACAGAGAGUUAAGUAAAUUUUAGUGAGGAAGGGUCAGAACCGUUGGGCAGUGAAACAGGGGAAGGUUUAAUGAAUAAACUGUACUAAUUGGCUGGGUUAAAAAUUCUAAAAUUUUUAUGUUGAAAUAGUAUAUGAGUCUAGUUUCAGGGAAAAUUUACGGAACUCAAUUUGGAGCUCUGUAGCUCCAGAUAAAAAUAAAUUAGUGACUAUGACGCAGAAAAACAGCUUGCUGGAAAUUGCCUAAACAAUAAAGUUAUUCAUGAAUAAGUUUAUAUUUUGGUGUAGUUAUGGGAGUAAUUACUUAUUUAUCAUGUGUUUACUUACUAAGCUAUAUGCUUACUCGAUUUUAUUUUUCUCUUGGUUAUAGUGACUUCCAACAACUCGAAAAUUGGAACGAAGUCAGACAAUCAUCUACACUAUCCUUCACAUUUGGGGUAUUUUACUACUAGUGUUCCGAAAUUUUAUGGCAUGUAUAGACACUUUAUGUAAUGUGGGAUCAUCAUGUAAAUAUAUGUUAUGGUUCCCUUUUAAAUGUAGUGUUUAUUAAUAGUUAAACUAUAUGUGUGUUUAUACAAAUGAAAUUGGUUGGUAUAUUGGAAUGUGUUCUAAAUUUGCAGGAGGUUUAAGCAAAAAUAAGUAGGAAUGCUGUCGAAAAUUUUUAAAAAUUUAGUAAUACCUCAUACUCUGUUCCGGUAAGGAAUACGGGUAAGGGGUGUUACAAGUGCCACGAAAAAUUUUGCUAAUAUAGUCAUGAGUGGUGAGAUGAUUGAAAGUGCUGUAAAGAGCGGGAAGAUUGAUGUUGGAGAGAACAACAGAAGACAAAACUCAAAGAAAAAGAAAGUGAGGUAAACAACGUGAAUAUAUACAACAAGUCAAUUACGGUGAAUCAGCCCAGGAAGGUAGUGACAGGUCAACAGGGUUCAUCAAAACAGGAAUCUGGUACAAGGCCAAGUAAUGAGAGGCCUCAGUUUACACCCACUCCUAUGUCAUAUAAAGAGUUGUAUCAAAAUUUAUUCAACGCGCACGUUGUUGCCCCAUUUUAUUUGACCCCUUUACAGCCUCCAUAUCCUAAAUGGUAUAAUGCAAAUGCACAAUGUGAUUACCAUGCAGGAGUUACGCGGCACUCCAUAGAGCAUUGUACUGCUUUUAAAAAGCUUGUUGAGAAGCUCAUUCAGAUGGGUGUUGUCAAGAUAGAUGAUUCAUCUGGUACGGAAAAUCCAUUACCCAAACAUACUGAUGCAGGGGUAAACAUGGUAGGUGAAGGUACGGGGAAGAAGGUCAAGGAGAAUAUUGCUGAGGUAAGGAUCCCUUUGAGAAGGGUUUGGAAAGAAAUGGUAAGAAGAGGGUUGAUUGUUUCGGAUGUGGUGGAGAGUGACGAGACCCAAAAUUAUUGUGAGUUCCAUCAUGAGGUGGGACAUGAAAUUCAGGGAUGUGAGAAGUUCAGAGCUCUGAUCCAAAGCAUGAUGGAUAUUGGAGAAAUAGAGUUUUUUGAAGAGGAAGAAAGAAAAGAAAAUAUAUGCGCAUCGGAGUCAGAAACGAGGAUUCCGAAGAUAAUCAUCUCGCACCCUAGGGUUACUGAAGUCAGGGCACAAAUGACACCGAAGAUCGUUAUUCAAAAGCCGGUGAAGUUUUUGUAUAAGGAUAACAAGAAGGUCCCUUGGAAUUAUGAAUGCGAGGUAACGGUUUCGGGGCUAGAAACUUCAGUUAGGAUUGAGAAAGAAAACCAAAAGACAGGUUCUUAUACGAAUGCCAAGGAGUACUGUGGUCGGAUAAAUGCUGAAACAGAAUUAGUGGAGGGAAAAGUCCUUGCAGCAGAGCAAAAGAAAGAGAAGAAGGCUAAAUUAAGUUCAUUGAUUAAUGAGCCAAUAAAGGAAGAAGAAGCCACUGAAUUCUUGAAAUUUUUAAAACACAGUGAGUAUAGUGUUGUAGAGCAGCUGCAUAAACAGCCAGCUGGUAUAUCUGUGUUAACUUUGCCCAGGAAUUCAGAGGUGCAUCAAAAUGCGCUGAUGAAGGCAUUAAAUGAAACUUCGUGGCAAGUGAUAUUUCUAUCAACCAAUUGGAUCGGUUGGUCAACAAUAUAAGCGCUGAUAAUUUUAUCUUUUUCAACGAUGACGAAAUACCAUCUGGAGGUAUGGGGUCCACAAAAGCUCUGCACAUUACUGCUCGGUGUAAAGGAAGCUUAGUAUCGGGAGUUUUAAUUGAUAAUGGGUCUGCAUUGAAUGUACUGCCCUUAUCUACUCUCAAUAGGUUACCUGUUGAUAGCUCACAUAUGAAAACAUGUCAAAACGUGGUAAGGGCGUUCGAUGGAACGGAAAGGAAGGUUUUGAGGAGAAUUGAGAUACCGUUGCUGAUAGGCCCGAAUACUUAUGAAGUAGAUUUUAUUGUAAUGGAUAUCAAGCAAUCAUAUAACUAUUUAUUAGGCAGACCUUGGAUACAUUCGGCGGGGGCCGUGCUUUCAACGCUGCAUAAGAAGUUAAAAUUGGUGACAGAAGGACGGUUAGUGACAAUAAAUGUCGAGGAAAGUAUUAUUGCGUCAGUGACCAAAAAUGCACCAUAUGUGGAGACAGACGAAGAGGCGGUGGAAUGUUCUUUCCGGAUAUAGAGUUUAUUAAUACAACAUUUAUUGCUGAGGGGGAUAGAAUUCGAGUACCGAAGAUAUCCAAGACUACAAAAAUGGGCCUUCAAUUAAUUGUGGGAAGAGGAGCUGUACUCGGAAAAAGAUUAGGAAGAGAUUUGCAAGGAAGAGUUGAAGCACCAGUGAUGAAAGAAAAGUUUGAUCGCUUUGGUCUGGGCUAUAGACUAGGUAUAAAACAAAGAAGAAAACAAAGAAGAAAAGAAAUGGAGAGAAGACAGGAGAGAAGAAGGGCACGCCUGAGUGGAAAUGAAGUUAGGUGGGAGCCUUUGGUUUUUCCUCACAUAUCCAAGACCUUCAUAUCCGGAACAAAGUGUGAUUGAUGUGGAAGGUGUUGAAGAGAUAUUGGGAGAUGUUCACAUCAAUGCCCUAGACACAGUUGAAAGAGAGGCUUGGCUAGAGAUUCGCCCUUACGAGCCUGGAAGUGAUCUGGACAAUUGGACUGCAGAAGAGAUUCCUGUAGUUUUUAGAGCUUGUUCAGAGUAAAUAUGCAGAACAUCCUUGUCGAUUUGACUUAAAAUAUAAUUUCUUUAUGGAUUAGGCACAUCUUGGAUAUUAUAAUUUCAAUAAAUAUACUUUUUCGUAUGCAUUUUUGAGCCAGUAUUCUUUUGUUUUUCUUUCGAGUAAUUAUUCUUUUAAUUUUUUCUUUUCUUUUUCUACAUCAUUCUUUUAUUCAUUUCAUAAUCAUAUUUUCUUCAUAAAUUCAUAUAUUCUUUGUAUAUUCUUUGGCACCUAUCAUAGAUUCCCAGAUAUCAAUGAUUUGAAUGACGCUGCUUUAGACUCAGAAUCACCUUUCGAACGAAACCAGUGUUUAGAAGGAUCACAGAAUUUUGAAGAUGACGUAGACUGUGAUGUAUCUCCGGACUUAUUGAGAAUGGUAGAAGAGGAGGAUAAGCAAAUCUUACCUCAUAAAGAAUCAUUGGAGAUUGUGAGUCUAGAGGAGGGAAAAGAGGUAAAGAUUGGAACUGACAUUUCUGCCAAGAUAAGGCAAAACCUCAUCAAGUUACUCCGUGAAUUCAAAGAUGUCUUUGCAUGGUCAUAUCAAGAUAUGCCUGGGUUAAGCACUGAUAUUGUAGUGUACCGUCUUCCCAUAAAAGAGGAUUGCAAGCCAGUUCAGCAGAAACUCAGAAGAAUGAGGCCUGACGUUGUGCUAAAGAUAAAAGAGGAGGUCAAGAAGCAGUUUGACGCUGGGUUCUUGCAAGAAGUCAAGUAUUCAGAAUGGGUAGCUAAUGUUGUCCCCGUCCCUAAAAAAGAUGGGAAGGUACGAACGUGUGUGGAUUACAGGGACUUUAACAAGGCUAGUCCAAAAGAUAAUUUUCCGUUGCCUCACAUUGAUACUUUGGUAGAUAAUACUGUAGGCUAUUCAUUGUUUUCUUUCAUGGACGGUUUUCUGGAUAUAAUCAAAUAAAGAUGCACCCAGAAGACAUGAGAAAUACCACAUUUAUCACUUUAUGGGGAACGUUCUGUUAUAAAGUGAUGCCCUUUGGAUUAAAGAAUGCGGGGACAACUUAUCAAAGAGUUAUGGUAACUUUAUUUCAUGACAUGAUGCACAAGGAGAUUGAGGUUUAUGUUGACGAUAUGAUUGCGAAAUCCAGAACAGAAGAGGAGCAUGUUCAAGUUCUGCAGAAGUUAUUUUGAGACUAAGAAAUUUCCAGCUCAAGCUUAAUCCAACAAAGUGCACCUUUGGGGCUAGAUCGGGGAAGUUGUUGGGCUUCGUAGUCAGUGGGAAAGGAAUUGAAGUUGAUCCAGAAAAAAGUCAGGGCAAUACGUGAUUUGCCUCCACCACACACUCAGAAAGAAGUACGGGGUUUUUUGGGAAGACUGAAUUAUAUUUCUCGGUUUAUUUCACAUCUAACUGAGAAAUGUGAUCCUAUAUUUCGUCUUCUAAAGAAGCAUAAUCCGGGUGUAUGGGAUGAAGAAUGCCAGAAGGCUUUUGACAAAAUAAAACAAUAUUUGUCUAAUCUUCCAGUGCUAACACCACCUAAUCCGGAUAGGCCAUUAAUAUUGUAUUUAACAGUAUUUGACAAGUCCAUGGGGUGCGUGUUAGGCCAACAUGAUGAGACAGGGAGAAAAGAAACGGCAAUAUACUAUCUCAGUAAGAAGUUCACUGAUUGUGAAGCGAGAUAUUCGGCUAUUGAAAAGUUGUGUUGUGCUCUGGUUUGGACAACUCGAAGAUUACGACAAUAUAUGUUGUAUCACACGACAUUGCUAAUUUCAAAGUUAGACCCCUUAAAGUAUAUGAUGGAGUCAACUGCUUUGAAUAGGAGGAUGGCUAGAUGGCAGAUUUUGCUUUCUGAAUUUGACAUAGUGUAUGUGAGUCAGAAAGCUGUGAAAGGGAGCGCAAUAGCUAACUUUUUAGCUAGCAGAGCCUUGGUGGAUUAUGAGCCUUUGAACUUUGAUUUCCCAAAUGAGGAUUUGAUGUAUGCGGCAACCACUGAAGAAAAUUCCCAAAUGGAUCAGGUGUGGAAGUUAAAUUUUGAUGGAGCCUCAAAUGCUGUGGGUAAUGGAAUUGGGGUAGUCAUAAUAUCUCCAAGCGGAGAUCAUUAUCCUUUUGCUAACAAACUGGGUUUUGAUUGCACGAAUAAUAUGGCAGAGUAUGAAGCGUGCAUUAUGGGCAUUCGUGCGGCCAUCGAACGUAAAAUCAAAGUGUUAGAAGUGUAUGGGGAUUCUGCACUGGUGAUAUAUCAACUCAAAGGAGAAUGGGAAACAAGGGACUCUAAACUGAUCAGUUAUCGAAAGAUGGUUCUUGAAUUGAUGGAUGAAUUUGAUGACAUUAUUUUUUGUUAUCUUCCACGAGAUGAGAAUCAGAUGGCUGAUGCGUUGGCUACCUUAGCCUCCAUGAUCCUAGUGAAUAGGUUGAGGACAUGAAGCCUAUCCAGAUGAGUAUUUUUGAAACCCUGGCUCAUUACUAUAAUGUUGAGGAAGAGGAAAAGGAUGAUCAUCCCUGGUAUUUGAAUAUAUUGCGAUAUGUAAAGAAUCAUGAGUAUCCAAAUCAGGAAACGGAGAAUGAUAAAAGAGCACUAAGAAGGUUGGCUAUUGACUAUGUUCUAGAUGGAGAAAUCCUAUACAAAAAAGGAAAGGAUCAAGUACUGCUAAGAUGUGUGGAUGCAGUAGAAGCUAGAAAAAUUCUAGAAGAAGUCCAUGAAGGUAUCUGUGGCACACAUGCAAAUGGUUUCACAAUGGCCAGGUAGAUCAUGAGAUUUGGGUAUUAUUGGUCUACUUUGGAAAGGGAUUGCAUCAGCUAUGCUAAGAAGUGCCAUAAAUGCCAAAUUUAUGGUGAUAAAAUACAUGUGCCUCAUUCACCUCUUCAUGUUAUGACUUCUCCAUGGCCUUUCUCUAUGUAGGGUAUGGACGUCAUUGAGCCAAUAUCGCCCAAGGCUUCUAACGGGCAUCGCUUCAUCUUUGUGGUUAUUGACUACUUUACCAAAUGGGUGGAGGCUGCUUCAUAUGCAAAUGUCACGAAGUCAGCAGCUAGCAAAUUCUUGAAAAAGGAAAUCAUAUGUCGAUAUGGAAUGCCUGAGAGGAUCAUAUCUGAUAAUGCACUGAAUUUGAACAAUAGUGCAAUAGCGGAGGUUUGCAGUCAAUUCGGGAUCAGACAUCAUAACUCGUCGCCAUACCGCCCAAAGAUGAAUGGUGCAGUAGAAGCAGCCAAUAAGAAUAUCAAGAAAAUUGUGGGAAAGAUGACCGAGACUUACAGGGAUUGGCAUGAGAAAUUACCAUUUGCUCUCUUUGCUUAUAGAACGUCUGUUAGGACGUUGACUGGGGCAACACCUUUCUCUUUAGUUUAUGGCAUGGAAGCAGUUUUACCUAUUGAAAUAGAAAUUCCUUCUCUCCGAGUUUUAUCUGAGUUGAAAUUGGAUGAGGCAAAAUGGGUUCAAUCUCGUUACGAUCAAUUGAACUUAAUUGAAGGGAAAAGGCUAAAAGCUGUUCGGCAUGGUCAGAUGUAUCAAAAGCGGAUGAUGCGAGCCUACAACAAAAAAGUUCGUCCCAGAGAAUUUAAUGUGGGGGAGCUGGUGUUGAAAAGGAUCCUUCCUAUACAAAAAGAUUUCAGAGGGAAAUGGAUGCCAAAUUGGGAAGGUCCAUAUGUUGUAAAGAAAGUCUUUUCAGGGGGAGCUUUGAUUUUGAGUGAGAUGGAUGGCAAAGAUUUGCCAAACCCUGUAAACUCAGAUUCAAUUAAGAAAUACUUUUCUUAAAAAAAAAGGGAGAGGCCAAUGUGAAAACCCGUAAAUGGCACUUUGAGACCAAAGGGGAUUUGAGUUGAAAACCCAAAAAAGGGCGGCUCAAAUACUGAUCAGGUGACACAUCUGGUAAUCUUGCAAUGAUUGAAUCAUUGGAAAGGGGACGCAACAUCUUGGGGCAUCGACAGAGUACUGUAGAUCUUCUAAAGCACGUGUCGGAUUUAGAGUGGUCUUCAGGAAGUUUGCGCAGAGAAGUUCAAACUGCGAUAUCUAGGGCACCUAGUCUUCAUAUUAUUUAUAUUGAAUUGCUUAUUCUUGGAAUACUUUAUUCUUUUUCAAGAUACGAGUCAAUUCCUCUUUUAUCUCAAUAUUAUUGAUAAUUUAUUCAUUUCGAGCUAUGCUCUUAAUUCAAUUCUAUUUAUUCAGUUCGAGCAAAGCAUAUUGCAUUAGAAUAACGAUUAAUAGACUAAUAAAACUUUUUACAAAGGAAAUUUUGCAUAUUACUUUGGAAGUUUCUAAAUAAUAUGGGAACCUGAAACAGGAUUAUUAUUUAGAAUACACCAAGUUUAAAGGUUGAAAUAUUUGGGAAGGAAAUGUCUAAAUUGAGACUAUUCCUUCAGAUUUUGUUGUCAAAUCAUUGAUUGAAUAAAGUGACAAGAUGUCGUGUUGGUGACAAAGCAUCAAUGAACAAGCAAGAAAUGAUCACCUUACAAUAAGAAAAGGUUUCCUCGGAAAAAGAAAUUCUUCAUUUGUGCAUGUGCAUUUGGUAUGACUCCCUAGAAAUGGUGAAAAUGACGGAGGAGGUUCACAUUCUGCGUCCUUGAAUUGUGAUAGGGAGGAUUGAGAAAAGGUCAGAUCUUUUUUACCCUUGGGUUACAACGGGAGGAAAAUGGUACAAAUUUUUGUGUCCCAGUAGAUUAACUGUGGAAGUUUACAGUGAGGCAAUCUGAUCCAAUGUUUUUAAAGAUGCCAGCCAAGCAGGAAGGCAUUUUAGCACGUCAGUGAUAAAGUCUUAAUAAACUUUGAGUAGUGACAACCUAAGCGAGAUCACUCUCGGAAAGAAUAACAGUUUACAUCCAUUCAAAUGUCAUUCAUACAUGUCUAGUUAGGAGCAUGUGAUUCAUUCUGAUCAUGACAUCCUAAUCAUUAGGCAUAAUUAGGUUCAUAAAUAUGAAUUAUACAGGUCAUGUUCCCUAGAGAACAAACUGAAGAAAUCGAUCCUAUCUCCCUGAGGUUGCAGUGGAGCGGAUUGACAUGCGGAUCUUAUCUCUCUGAGGUUGCAGAGAGCAGAUCACAUCAACUCUUAUUUCCCUGAGGUUGCAGUGGAGCAAACUGAAAACCUAAUACUAUCUUCUUGGCGUUGUAGCGAAGCAGAUUGAAGCCACGACAGCGAAUCUUAUCUCCCUGGCAUUAAGGCUUGGAUUAGUUGAAGUUGAGCGGAUUGAAGCUGUGGGCAGCGAAUCCUAUCUCUUUGGCAUUACAGGAAAAGAUUGAAGCCACAACGGUGGAUCUUACUUCCCUGGUGGUGCAGUAAAACAGAUUGAAGGUACGACGGCAGAUCUGGUUUCCCUGGCAUUGCAAUCAAACAAAUUGAAAUGUCUAAUCCUAUCUCCCUGAAGUUGCAGUGGAGUGGAUUAAUCACAGAUCUUAUCUCUCUGAGGUUGCAGAGAGCAGAUCGCAUCAAAUCCUAUCUCCCUGAAGUUGCAGUGGAGUGGAUUAAUCACAGAUCUUAUCUCUCUGAGGUUGCAGAGAGCAGAUCGCAUCAAAUCCUAUCUCCCUGAAGUUGCAGUGGAGUGGAUUAAUCACAGAUCUUAUCUCUCUGAGGUUGCAGAGAGCAGAUCGCAUCAAAUCCUAUCUCCCUGAAGUUGCAGUGGAGUGGAUCAAAUCACAGAUCUUAUCUCUCUGAGGUUGCAGAGAGCAGAUCGCAUCAAGUCUUAUCUCCCUAAGGUUACAGUGGAAUGGGUUGAAGCAUUAAUUCUUAUACUUCUAAAGAUGCAGUAAGAAGGAAUGUGGCUACUUGAAGAAGAAGUGCACCAAAGUCCAGCAUGACCGGGCAAAAUUGGUUAUUUUUAGAGUCUUUGCUAUAGUCCCAUUACAUGACAACGAGCAAAGAGGGGCAGCUGUAAUAAACAAAUUUUACCCGGCUCAUUUAUAAUAACCUAUUACUAAACCCAAUAACCCAAAUUGCAAGCCCAAUACCCGAGCAAGCCCAAAUCUAACCUAAUCCAAUUAGCCUAAACACUAAACAGAAAACAAAACCCCUAACUUUCCUUGCACCGCAAUAGUCUCCCGCACGUCGCGCACGUCGUGCCCGCGCGUUCAACAGCCUUGCAGCGCUCGUCUCCACGAUCUCCCUCACCUGUAAUAAAUCGCAAACAACAAGUAAAAAGGGGAAAAGAGGAAGUAAAAGAGUGUUGGUUUUUUUUGUAACGAUUCGGCUAUAUAAAGGCCAAUCGAUCUUUGUAACAGGGUUAGCAAAUUUUGUACUAAAAAACUGAGAAAGAAAAUACCAUAGAAGAAAAGAGAAUGUUUUUGAAGGUGAUAGAUUUGGGUCUUUUCUUUUCGUUUUUUUACUGUUUUUACUUUAUUUCUGCUUUUCCUUCGUUUUUUAAACAAGAGGAUGAUAAAGAAAUGGAGUAGAGAGAACAUUACCGGCGAGGUGUCUUUGCUCUUAUCGUUUCAUAAUCGUCGAGGCAGGGGGAAGAGUUUGAAACAAUAGAGGGUUGCGGCGCAUCUGAAGUAGCCAAAGAAUGGUGUUCUAGGGUUUUAAAAAUGGGCUUAUAAAGGGCAUUAAACGACGUCGUUUGGGGCCUGUUUCAGUGGCCCCAAAACGGCGUCGUAUUGUUUGUACCCGCACGCGACCCAAUCCGGCCCAGGAGGAUCCGCGCAUUUCCUCUUAUUGGACUAUUUGUGAAAUUAGUCCUCAUGAUUUUGUAGUUUUUCAAUUAUUAUUUUUUCAUGGUUUUUUAAAUUUUACUAUAUAUUUUGUUUUUAUUUCAAUCUAACCCGUGUUGUUGUGCAGCGUUUUGGAAGGAGGGAUUAUUUUCCCUUUUGAUCCUUCAAAGUUAAUUGUGCAUUCUAAUUGGUUCAUUCGCAUUUUAUUUUUUAUAAAUUUGCCCCGAAUUUCUAUUUUAAGUUUAAAUUAGUCAUUUUUGUUAUUAUUGCUAUUAAAUAUUUUAAUUUCAAUUGAAUUAUCUAUCUAUCCAUUAUUAUUAUUAUUAUUACUGUUAUUAUUAUUUGCAUACAUGUACAUACGUAUUUCUUUUUAUAAUAUAUAUGCAUAUAUUUUUAUAAAUACAUGUGCAUUUUUUAUAUAUAUAUUUUUUUAUUAUUCUAUUUACAUGGUUUUUUAUAUACAUUUAUAUUUUAUAAUUCAUAUACAUUUUCCUUAUUUUAUAAUUCAUACAUAUAUAUUUUUUAUAUAAUAUAUAUAUUCGCACUUUUUUUUAACAUUAUUAUACAUAUAUCUCCCGCAUAUUUUUAUAAUGUAUAUGCAUUUUUUUUCCUUUAUAAUAUACAUGUAUAUUUCUAAACUUUUAUAGGUUCAUGUAUAUAUUUUAUAUGUUUUUAUCCUUGUAUUACUAUUUUCCAUAACUUUUAUAUACAUAUUCAAAUAUAAUUUAUAUUAAAAUAUUUGUUUUAUAUUGCAUUGACUUUUUUAACACAUUUUUCAAAUACAUUUUGAUUUUGUCAAAAAAAAAACCAUUAAAACCAUUUUUUAUGAUUUAAAGGUUUUCAAAAUAAGAAACGAUAUUCAAAGUUAGGGAUUUUCGAGGAAAAUUGAGCCCUAACGUAUUGGGUUCCGAUUUUCUUUGUUAAUUCCAAAUAACCGAGAAUAUUCGUUAUUUAAAAUAUAAACAAAAAUCAUUUUCGAGAAUUUGAUAUGUUAUGUCCUAACGCAUUGGGCAUGACAUAUUAUUUUCACGAAAUGAAGAUUUUCUUUAAAAAAAUAAUUAAAAAGCGAUAUUCAAAAUUCGGGGAUUUUGAGAAAUUGUACCCUAACGUAUUGGGUCUCAAUUUCUUCACAUGACUUGAAUAAUUGAUUAUCCCUUUCAGAUUUCAAAAUUUGAGCUUAACAAAAUCUUUUUAAUUUUCGACACCAAGACAUUAAACAAUCAAUUUGGUACCGAUUUUUGGGCGUUACGAGGGUGCUAAUCCUUCCUCGUGCGUAACUGACUCCCGAACCCGUUUUCUCAAAUUUCGCAUGCCAAAUAUGUUUUUAAGGUGGGUUGAUCACACCGCAAUCAAGGAUCGGUGGCGACUCUAAUUUUUAUUUUUAAAGUUGAUAACAAAAUUUUUUGUUUUCAAAAAAACGGUUUCGAUAGCUUGGCGACUCCACUGGAAAAUUUUGAAGGACCUCAUUCUAGCGCACCCAGAUGCAAGGAAGAAGGUAGAUGUCUUUGCUUUAAGUAUAUAUGGUUUGGUUAUGUUCCCUAAGACUUUGGGGCAUGUUGACGAGGCAUUCACUGACUUAUUUGAUCGGCUUGAAAAUAGAGUUACACCAGUCCCGGCAAUUUUGGCAGAAACCUUUAGGUCACUGAAUGCAUGCCGGAGAGCGGGAGAGGGUAGGUUUAUUGGAUGUGCGCAACUCUUACUUGCAUGGUUCCAUAGUCACUUUUGGAAGGUCGAUAAGGUUUCAUAUCGGAUCUUCGCUGACAAUUAUUCACGAUUGAAAGAGAUAGUGGCUACACCGAGGACGGAUGACAUCUCGGAAGAGAAAUGCAUGGCUAUUUUUUAAAAUUUGCAGGAGGGCGAUAUCGAGUGGAGAGCCCCAUGGUUGCUUCCAGGUGAGAUCCUAUAUCGAUGUGGGGAUUUUGACUGGGUUCCUUUGAUUGGGAUUUGGGGAGCCAUUGGUUAUGUACCAUUGCUAGUACUUAGGCAGUACAGGUCAAGACAGUUCGUGCCUACAACUCAGGGAUUGGCCGAGUGUGAGUUCUUGUAUAGGGGCGAUGGUUACAAGAGGAGGGUUCGUGAGAUGGUCAGUGCAUGGAAUCAGACUCGCCGAAUGAAGGGAUUAGCUGUGGGUCCGAUAACAACUCCUGAGUACGAUGAAUUGUGGGCUAAGAGGAUUAACGAUAACAUUCUUGGGCCGGGUUCAGAAGAUAGUCAGCCAAUAGAGGAGUACUUGCGUGUUGUCCCUACUGAGCUGGAAAUUAUAAAGCAAGACUUCGAAAGGAAAAAUGCAGAAUUAGAGAGGAAAAUUAAGCAGAUGGAGGAAGAAAAGUGAAUUUGAGACUAGAUGCCGAUGUUCAGAAGCUCGAGGCUGAUAAACUAAGGAAGGGGAAGCACAAAGCUGAGGAAGAGUUAGAUAGCUUGAAGACUGAUUACAAGAAGCUGCGUCUGUCCAUGAUAACUGCCGGGCUUGGAAAGACUUCAGAGCAGUGGCGUGAAGAAAUUCGAGAGGAAAGAAACAAGUCAGACCGGUGGGAAAGAAAAUUCCAAGAAGUGCAAGCACGAAAUGAAGCCUUGGAGAAGAGCUUGUCAGAGAGUCAAAAGGAAAAAGGAAAACUAAAGGACAGAGUCAUUGAGUUAGAAGGGUCUCUCUGUCAACACGGAAGUCAAAAUUCUGUAAUAGAGCUGAAAGCAAGUCUGAGCAAGAUUGAAGAAAUGAAGGGUAAAAUAGAAGAGUUGGAAGUAGCAUUACGAAGUUGUGAGGGUCGGAUCGAGCAUCUAGAGGUAAAGGAAGGUCGUCAGAAUGAACAACUUCAUUAUUUCCAAGAUCAAGUCAGAAAUAGGGAUCGCGUUAUGGGAGAGGCUGUGGUGCAGAUUCGUGAAGUGGCAGAUCACUUGCAAACUUUGGCGGUACAAGCAGACACGUUGAGCGUAAAGUAUGAGCUAGAUUCAGAUCGAGGGCAAGAAUUAGCAUCAUUGCUUAAAAAGAUCAAGGUCUUAAGUAUUAGGGCAAAGCCAUAUUUGUAGCCCAUUCUAUGUAAAGAGAUUUAUUUUCUAAUAAAGUUUCUGAAAGUAAUUGAAAUUAGAAUCAAUGCCUUCUCUGCAUUCAUUUUCAUAUAUCGCAUUGCAUGCAUUAAAAAAUUAGCAAAGGGUUCUGAUUAAUCAAAAUCUUUCCUCAGUUAACCUGGAAUCUAACCAUCCAACUCAGCACCGUUACGGUGCAAGAGCGAAAUUAAAAAAUAUGGACCAAAGGUUGGAAAAGCUCGAAGGAUUCCAAAAAGAAAUGCAAGAUCAGCUUCAGCAGCAAAUGAAAGAGCAACUCAAAAAGAUUCAACAAAGUUUGAUGAAUAAAAUGGAGGAAUCACAAUGAAGUAUGAUGACAAAGUUGACGCGAUUGUUGACUGAAGGAAAGGAUAAAGGAAAGAGCCCUGUAACAAAUAUUAAAGUGGAAGGUGAGGAUGGACUCCAGUAUCCUCCAGGCUUCACUCCUUUACAUGUGCAGCACCAAGCGGAAGUGUACCCGCGUAAAUCUUCUGUUACGAUUAGGCAUCAGCAAUUUCAAGCUGAUGCUUCAAGAUCAAUGAAUUUUCAGGCCGAAUCAGGCUCCAGUCCUGAGAAUAAUCCUGCUAAUCUUAUUAUUCCUGAUUUCGAUGAAGCAGUUGAAAAAGAGAAAACAAAAGAAGAAGUACCAAAGUAAUUGGAAGAAAGAUGGAAGUGGAUUGAGGAAAAAUUCAAAGUAAUGGAAACUACUGAAAGAUGCCAUGGGAUUGAUGCUAAGGAUUUAAGUUUGGUACCGGAUUUAGUACUUCCGUACAAGUUUAAAAUGCCAGAUUUCGAGAAGUAUAAUGGGACCACCUGCCCUGAAGCCCACAUUACUAUGUUUUGUAGACGAAUGACUGGGUAUGUCAAUAACGACCAGUUAUUGAUACACUGCUUUCAAGAUAGCCUCGCGGGGGCAGCGUCUAAAUGAUAUAAUCAAUUAAGCCGUGCUAAGAUUAGCUCUUGGAGGGAUUUAGCACAGGCUUUUAUGAAGCAGUAUGGGCAUGAGGCGAAAAUGGUUCCUGAUAGGAUCACUUUACAAAAUAUGGAGAAAAAGUCGAAUGAAGGUUUUAGACAAUAUGCUCAGUGGUGGAGAGAGGUGGCAGUGCAGGUUCAACCACCGCUUCUUGAAAGAGAAAUGACGAUGCUCUUUGUAAAUAAGCUAAAGGCCCCUUUCAUCACACACAUGCUAGGCAGUGCCACGAAAAAUUUUACUGAUAUAGUCAUGAGUGGUGAGAUAAUUGAAAGUGUUGUAAAGAGUGGGAAGAUUGAUGUUGGAGAGAACAACAGAAGACAAAACUCAAAGAAAAAAGAAAGUGAGGUAAACAACGUGAAUACAUACAAUAAGUCAAUUACGGUGAAUCAGCACAGGAAGGUAGUGACAAGUCAACAGGGUUCAUCAAAACAGGAAUCUGGUACAAGGCCAAGUAAUGAGAGGCCUCAGUUUACACCCAUUCCUAUGUCAUAUAAAGAGUUGUAUCAAAAUUUAUUCAACGCGCACGUUGUUGCCCCAUUUUAUUUGACCCCUUUACAGCCUCUAUAUCCUAAAUGGUAUGAUGCAAAUGCACAAUGUGAUUACCAUGCAAGAGUUACGGGGCACUCCAUAAAGCAUUGUACUGCUUUUAAAAAGCUUGUUGAGAAGCUCAUUCAGAUGGGUGUUGUCAAGAUAGAUGAUUCAUCUGGUACGGAAAAUCCAUUACCCAAACAUACUGAUGCAGGGGUAAACAUGGUAGGUGAAGGUACGGGCAAGAAGGUCAAGGAGAAUAUUAUUGAGGUAAGGAUCCCUUUGAGAAGGGUUUGGAAGGAAAUGGUAAGAAGAGGGUUGAUUGUUUCGGAUGUGGUGAAGAGUGACGAGACCCAAAAUUAUUUUGAGUUCCAUCAUGAGGUGGGACAUGAAAUUCAAGGAUGUGAGAAGUUCAGAGCUCUGAUCCAAAGCAUGAUGGAUAUUGGAGAAAUGGAGUUUUUUGAAGAGGAAGAAAGAAAAGAAAAUAUAUGCACAUCGGAGUCAGAAACGAGGAUUCCGAAGAUAAUCAUCUCGCGCCCUAGGGUUACUGAAGUCAGGGCACAAAUGACACCGAAGAUUGUUAUUCAAAAGCCGGUGAAGUUUUUGUAUAAAGAUAACAAGAAGGUCCCUUGGAAUGAUGAACGCGAGGUAACGGUUUCGGGGAAAUAAGCUUCAGUUAGGGUUGAGAAAAAAACCAAAAGACAGGUUCUUAUACGAAUGCCGAGGAGUACUGUGGUCGGAUAAAUGCUGAAACAGAGUCGGUGGAGGGAAAAGUCCUUGCAGUAGAGCAAAAGAAAGAGAAGAAGGCUGAAUUAAGGUCAUUGAUUAAUGAGCCAAUAAAGGAAGAAGAAGCCACUGAAUUCUUGAAAUUUUUAAAACACAGUGAGUAUAGUGUUGUAGAGCAGCUGCAUAAACAGCCAGCUCGUAUAUCUGUGUUGACUUUGCUCAAGAGUUCAGAGGUGCAUUGAAAUGUGCUGAUGAAGGCAUUAAAUGAAACUUAUGUGGCAAGUGAUAUUUCUGUCAACCAAUUGGAUCGGUUGGUCAACAAUAUAAGCGCUGAUAAUUUUAUCUUCUUCAACGAUGACGAAAUACCAUCUGGAGGUAUGGGGUCCACAAAAGCUCUGCACAUUACUGCUCGGUGUAAAGGUAGCUUGGUGUCGGGAGUUUUAAUUGAUGAUGGGUCUGCAUUGAAUGUACUGCCCUUAUCUACUCUCAAUAGGUUACCUGUAGAUAGCUCACAUAUGAAAACAUGUCAAAACGUGGUAAGGGCGUUCGAUGGAACGGAAAGGAAGGUUUUGGGGAGAAUUGAGAUGCCGUUGCUGAUAGGCCCGAAUACUAAUGAAGUAGAUUUCAUUGUAAUGGAUAUCAAGCCCUCAUAUAAAUGUUUAUUAGGCAGACCUUGGAUACAUUCGGCGGGGGCCGUGCCUUCAACGCUGCAUCAGAAGUUAAAAUUGGUGACAGAAGGACGGUUAGUGACAAUAAAUGCCGAGGAAAGUAUUAUUGCGUCAGUGACCAGCAAUGCACCAUAUGUGGAGACGGACGAAGAGGCGGUGGAAUGUUCUUUCCAGACUUUAGAGUUUAUUAAUACAACAUUUAUUGCUGAGGGGAAUAGAAUUCGAGUACCGAAGAUAUCCAAGACUAUAAAAAUGAGCCUUCAAUUAAUGGUGGGAAGAGGAGCUGUACCCGGAAAAGGAUUGGGAAGAGAUUUGCAAGGAAGAGUUGAAGCACCAGUGAUGAAAGAAAAGUUUGAUCGCUUUGGUCUGGGCUAUAGACCAGGUAUAAAACAAAGAAGAAAAGAAAUGGAGAGAAGAUAGGAGAGAAGAAGGGCACGCCUGGGUAGAAAUGAAGUUAGGUGGGAGCCUUUGGUUUUUCCUCACAUAUCCAAGACUUUCGUAUCAGGAGGGUUUAUUCAUCUGGAACAAAAAGUGCUUGAUGUGGAAUGAUACGAGUCACAAAGGCCCAACCCAAGCUCAAGAAGGUGAUGGGCUCAAAUCAAGAAAAUCAAGAUUCACUUUUUUGAUUUCAAGAAAAUCAAGAAACCGAAUCUUGGCCCAAUUUUGCUGUUUGGAGCGAUUUCAAGAAUCAAGAAAAUCAAGAUUUCAAAUCUUGGAAAUCUUGGUCCAAGAAACCGAAUCUUUCAGCCAAAGCGCAUUGGAUCUCCAUUACGAGCAUCAACGACCCAAUUUCGGUAGGAGAUGGAUCACAAGCCCAAAUUCUUGAAGGCGAGGCCUAAUAACCAAAUUCCAGCCCAAUCAAGAAGUUCCUUCAUACUUAGUUGAAAAUCAGGCCAAAAUGUCAAAGGGCCCAAUUUAUAAACAUUUUAAUUGUUUAAUUUAAUUUUUUUAAGCUUUAGGAACAUACAUGUAAAAUUCGGCCCAAAAACAGCCCAUAUAUAUGCUUGGCCGAAUUUUCCUUUAUUUAUUCUAUUAAUUAGGUUUAAUUUUAUUAGUUACUUGUUAUAUUAGGAUUACUUGAGGCCUAUUUAAAGGCAUGGCCGGCCACCCCUUGUACAUAACACUUAGAUUCAUUCUUAAAUUUCAGAUUUGAGAGAGCAGAAUUUUCUUUGAGUUUUCUCCAAGAUUUCUCUCUUGAGUUUUCUUUAGAAGUUGGUUUAACAAUCUUUUGAUUGUGGGAGCCAUCUUCAACCUUCUUCUUGCCAUCGAUAUUCUUUGGAGGGGAGAUUAGAGCCGUUUGAAGAGAUUUGUGAGAUCUUUCGGGAUUUCAAGGAUCUUUAGGACUUAUCUUUUAUUCUUGCUGUUCAAUUUAUUUUCUUUAUUUCUGUUGAUGCCGAAUCUAUAUCUAAUUUCUUUGCUAUUUUUGUUUGUGUUUCAGCCUUGAUUCAAACUCCAAGAACUCUUCAUUUAAUCGGUUCUUUUAUUGGCAGCAUCUAAUCGAUUCAAAAUUCCCCAAAAUUUAGGGUUCUUGCCGUUUUCUAUUUCUUCUUGUUGGGUGAAAUUCGGCUGCUGAAAUUUGGGCAAUUCAUCUUGGGUGUUCAAUUGGACCGAAUCUCAACUUAAAUUCACUUCUUGAACCGUUCAAUUUCAUCUAUUUCUUUCUUUUCUUUUUGCCGCCCAAAUCCCUAAUCUUCCAAUUAAAAAUCUAUUUUUUUCAAUCUACUUACUGUUUUGGUGUUCUUGGCAGAUUCGGCUUGUGGGAUUUCAUUAUUGGAGUUUGAUUUCAUCUUCUUGAACUCCGAAUACAUUUAUUAAUUCAUUCUUUGUUCCUUGCUGCUCAUUUAAUUGAAUUUGGGGAUUUAAUUUCAGAUCUGAUUAGUUUAAUCUUGUUCUUUGUUUUAAUUUUCAGAUCUGUUCGUUUAGAGCUUUCGUAGGUGUUUCCCAUGACUUGGCAACUCAAUCUUGGUCCGCGUGCAACCCCCAUAUCAUUUGGUAUUAGAUUUUGGGCGUUUUGGGUGUUCUUGGUUGAUUUCUAAACUGAUCUCAAUUUUUUAAAGCAAAAACAGCAGUUUUACCCAGAAAAUUUUUCGAAAAAAUUCAUUUAAGUGGGUAAACAUUGUCCAAUUGAUCUGAAAUUUUACAUACAUACUUUUGGCACUGUGAUUGAAUAUAAAAAAAAUUAAUCCCGCAAAAAAAUCAGUCAAAAAAUCAAAAAAUACGAAAUUCAAUAAAAAUUUUAAAAAAGAUUCAGCGGGUUGAAUUUGGUGCCCAAACUUUCCAGAUAAAAAAUUCAAUAUUCAAGGACAUUCCAGAUUUAAUUUCAUGAUUUUUCAAGAUCACGAACACCUCGAACGAAGUUGUCAAGUUACUCUGCAGUUUUUCGGGUUUUCUGUUUUCAGCAAUUUUUAUUGAUUCUUAGCUGUAGGUUUUCAUUUGUUUGCCUUUAUUCUUCCUUUACGUUAAUUAACACCUUCUUGUUUCUUGUGUUAGUAGGAUUUAAACACGUGUGCACAACUUCUUCCUCGGUGCAACACGAAUCAAUUGGUGUCUCGUCAGUUUUUGGCAUCCUAGUGCAAAUUAGGAUUCUUUGGUAGAUCGGUUCAUCCACUCUCUAAUUGGUUGAUAUAAACUCUGAUAAAGAACUCACAAGAUUGAAUUCUACCUCAUUGUGAAUUUGAAUUUUCUUUUUGAGUGAUUAACGGUGAGGUUUGCUAACUUUUAUUUUUGAGUGUUGAGUGUUUAUUUUGCAGGUAUUUCAAAAAAAAAAAGAGGAAAAAAAUAAGAUGGUAGUCCGCCGAACCCUUAAUAGCCAAAUGGGAGACGAUUUUGAUAACCAAAGGAUCAAUAUUUUCCAUUCUAGGUGUUUUAUAAAAGGUAACUUAUAUUCACUUAUUAUUGAUAGUGGGAGUUGUUCGAAUCUAGUUAGCAGUUAUUUGGUGGAUUCCUUAAAGUUACCUUAUAUCGAGCACCCUAAGUCGUAUCACCUUCAGUGGCUUAAUGAAUGCUCAGAAGUUAAAGUUACAAAAUAAUCCUUGAUCACUUUUAAGCUCGGGAAUUACGAGGAUGAGGUAUGGUGUGAUGUGGUCCCAAUGCAUGCGACACACUUGCUCCUUGGACGACCUUGGCAGUUUGAUCGUGAUGCUACACACCAAGGCAAGCUCAAUAGGUACUCUCUUGUGUUUAAAGGCCGAAAAUUCACUUUUGCUCCUUUAGAUCCCAAUGAUGUAUAUAAGGAUCAAUUAAAAAUAAUGAAAUUUUGUGAGGGGGUAAGGGAGAAAGGACAAAUACAAAAGACAGAGAGAAAAGAGGCUAGUAGUGAAAAAAGUCAAAAUCUAAAUAGCCCAAAGGUGAGUGAAUCCGCAAGUGGUAAAAUGAGAGUGAAAAAUUUGAUGGCAACAAAAAAAGAUGUGCGGAGAGCCCUACUCAAUAAACAGCCUUGUAUCCUUGCGAGGUUUAGGCAAAACUAUUUAUCUUUAUCUAACAUUAACGAAAAUUUGCCUAGUGUGUUUCAAUGUGUUUUGCAGGAUUAUGAGGAUGUUUUUAGUAAGACCCCUAAAGGUUUACCACCUUUACGUGGGAUAGAACACUUCCAUUGGCCACAUACGAAAGAUAACUUUCAACUUCAAUACCUUUCCGAUGAAAGAUGCUUUCAUACGAUCAACAUAGGCAAGGUUGAAGAUGAAAUCACACUACAUGAGCCUGAAGGUAAGCGAGGUAAGGAAUUUUUAGCAACUAAGUCCCGUGCAGAUUUGAAAAUUAUUGAUAAAACUUUUGGUGACUUAGUUCUUAAAAGAUCCCUUCAUUUUGAUCCGAUUAAUUGUUACUCUUCGAUUGUGGUUGAUAAAGUCAUUACGAAAGGAAGCGUGAGUUGUUAUUCUCUUGAUUUGCCUUAUGUAAAAUCCUCGAAUUUGUGCAAAUCUGUUGUGGUGAAUAAGGUAACGAAAUUUGCUAAGUUUGUUUUCAAUUUAUAUUCGUACCUUAAACAGUUUAUGUGGUUGUACAUGAAGUUUGAGUUCCAUUUGACAAAGGUUAACUCAACAACGGAGCUUCGAAUACACUAUGCCCCCGAUGAGCGAAGGUUUAUUUUAAAUGAAAAAGGUAAAAUCGACCCUUAUUCUUCUGCUUAUCAAGGUAAGAUGCUUGAAACCUUUGAAACAAUUUUGUACUCCUCGGAUAGUGAUAAAGAUCGUGUUGAUGAACACUUAGAUCGAAACGUGCUUGACUGUCCUAUUUUAUUUAUUGAUGAUCUAUCUGUUUUGAUGGUUGAUAAAAAGAUUCUUGUUUUUGAUAAUGCAUGUGUGAGUGAAUCUAUAGACCGUCGAUUAAUGCAUGGUAUGAUUAUGCAACUCUGUGAACCAUGUGAAUCUUUUCAAAUACCUACUUGUGACGAUUAUGUUUACCAUUUGAUUUAUUACUCGCAAUUUAUUCAUGGUUUGUGGGAACAAUUUGAGAUGACUGAAUGCCUUAAAACAUGUCCAUCUUUGUUUCGAAUAUUUGACGAGGCAGUGGCGAGUAAAUUAGAUUGUUUGCAUGGUAAUCUGAAUCUGUCCAUUCACAUGCGUUAUACCUGUUCUGUUAUGCUUAUGAUUGGACUACAAGCUUGUUUCCGUUGCUAUUUACUAUCUCAUGGCUAUUCUUUUCAGUGGACUCAAUUGCCAUUAGUCCCGUUUGAUAGAGAAAAGUCGAGUUCAUUUGAUUUUUUAGAUUCGAGGACGAAUCUUUUUGAGGAAGGGAGGAAUGAUACGAGUCACAAAGGCCCAACCCAAGCUCAAGAAGGUGAUGGGCUCAAAUCAAGAAAAUCAAGAUUCACUUUCUUGAUUUCAAGAAAAUCAAGAAAUCGAAUCUUGGCCCAAUUUUGCUAUUUGGAGCGAUUUCAAGAAUCAAGAAAAUCAAGAUUUCAAAUCUUGGAAAUCUUGGUCCAAGAAACCGAAUCUUGCAGCCAAAGCGCAUUGGAUCUCCGUUAUGAGCAUCAACGACCCAAUUUCGGUAAGAGAUGGAUCACGAGCCCAAAUUCUUGAAGGCGAGGCCUAAUAACCAAAUUCCAGCCCAAUCAAGAAAUUCCUUCAUACUUAGUUGAAAAUCAGGCCAAAAUGUCAAAGAGCACAAUUUAUAAACAUUUUAAUUGUUUAAUUUAAUUUUUUUAAGCUUUAGGAACAUACAUGUAAAAUUCGGCCCAAAAACAACCCAUAUAUAUGCUUGGCCGAAUUUUCCUUUAUUUAUUCUAUUAAUUAGGUUUACUUUUAUUAGUUACUUGUUAUAUUAGGAUUACUUGAGGCCUAUUUAAAGGCAUGGCCGGCCACCCCUUGUACAUAACACUUAGAUUCAUUCUUAAAUUUCAGAUUUGAGAGAGCAGAAUUUUCUUUGAGUUUUCUCCAAGAUUUCUCUCUUGAGUUUUCUUUAGAAGUUGUUUUAACAAUCUUUUGAUUGUGGGAGCCAUCUUCAACCUUCUUCUUGCCAUCGAUAUUCUUUGGAGGGGAGAUUAGAGCCGCUUGAAGAGAUUUGUGAGAUCUUUCGGGAUUUCAAGGAUCUUUAGGACUUAUCUUUUAUUCUUGCUGUUCAAUUUAUUUUCUUUAUUUCUGUUGAUGCCGAAUCUAUAUCUAAUUUCUUUGCUGUCUUUGUUUGUGUUUCAGCCUUGAUUCAAACUCCAAGAACUCUUCAUUUAAUCGGUUCUUUUAUUGGCAGCAUCUAAUCGAUUCAAAAUUCCCCAAAAUUUAGGGUUCUUGCCGUUUUCUAUUUUUUCUUGUUGGGUGAAAUUCGGCUGCUGAAAUUUGGGCAAUUCAUCUUGGGUGUUCAAUUGGACCGAAUCGCAACUUAAAUUCACUUCUUGAACCGUUCAAUUUCAUCUAUUUCUUUCUUUUCUUUUUGCCGCCCAAAUCCCUAAUCUUCCAAUUAAAAAUCUAUUUUUUUCAAUCUACUUACUAUUUUGGUGUUCUUGGCAGAUUCGACUUGUGGGAUUUCAUUAUUGGAGUUCGAUUUCAUCUUCUUGAACUCCGAAUACAUUUAUUCAUUCAUUCUUUGUUCCUUGCUGCUCAGUUAAUUGAAUUUGGGGAUUUAAUUUCAGAUCUGAUUAGUUUAAUCUUGUUCUUUGUUUUAAUUUUCAGAUUUGUUCGUUUAGAGCUUUCGUAGGUGUUUCCCGUGACUUGGCAACUCGAUCUUGGUCCGCGUGCAACCCCCGUAUCAUGGAAGGUGUUGAAGAGAUAUUGGGAGAUGUUCACAUCAAUGCCCUAGACACAGUUGAAAGAGAGACUUGGCUAGAGAUUCGCCCUUACGAGCCUGGAAGUGAUCUGGACAAUUGGACUGCAGAAGAGAUUCCUGUAGUUUUUAGAGCUUGUUCAGAGUAAAUAUGCAGAACAUCCUUGUCGAUUUGACUUAAAAUAUAAUUUCUUUAUAGAUUAGGCACAUCUUGGAUAUUAUAAUUUCAAUAAAUAUACUUUUUCGUAUGCAUUUUUGAGCCAGUAUUCUUUUGUUUUUCUUUCGAGUAAUUAUUCUUUUAUUUUUUUUCUUUUCUUUUUUUACAUCAUUCUUUUAUUCAUUUUAUAAUCAUAUUUCCUUCAUAAAUUCAUAUAUUCUUUAUAUAUUCUUUGGCACCUACCAUAGGUUCCCAGAUAUCAAUGAUUUGAAUGACGCUGCUUCAGACUCAGAAUCACCUUUCGAACGAAACCGGUGUUUAGAAGGAUCACAGAAUUUUGAAGAUGACGUAGACUGUGAUGUAUCUCCGACUUAUUGAGAAUGGUAGAAGAGGAGGAUAAGCAAAUCUUACCUCAUAAAGAAUCAUUGGAGAUUGUGAGUCUAGAGGAGGGAAAAGAGGUAAAGAUUGGAACUGACAUUUCUGCCAAGAUAAGGCAAGACCUCAUCAAGUUACUCCGUGAAUUCAAAGAUGUCUUUGCAUGGUCAUAUCAAGAUAUGCCUGGGUUAAGCACUGAUAUUGUAUUGCACCGUCUUCCCAUAAAAGAGGAUUGCAAGCUAGUUCAGCAUAAACUCCGAAGAAUGAGGCCUGACGUUGUGCUAAAGAUAAAAGAGGAGGUCAAGAAGCAGUUUGAUGCUGGGUUCUUACAAGAAGUCAAGUAUUCAGAAUGGGUCGCUAAUGUUGUCCCUGUCCCUAAAAAAGAUGGGAAGGUACGAAUGUGUGUGGAUUACAGGGACUUGAACAAGGCUAGUCCAAAAGAUAAUUUUCCGUUGCCUCACAUUGAUACUUUGGUAGAUAAUACUGUAGGCUAUUCAUUGUUUUCUUUCAUGGACGGUUUUUCUGGAUAUAAUCAAAUAAAGAUGCACCCAGAAGACAUGAGAAAGACCACAUUUAUCACUUUAUGGGGAACGUUUUGUUAUAAAGUGAUGCCCUUUGGAUUAAAGAAUGUGGGGGAAACUUAUCAAUGAGCUAUGGUAACUUUGUUUCAUGACAUGAUGCACAAGGAAAUUGAGGUUUAUGUUGACGAUAUGAUUGUGAAAUCCAGAACGGAAGAGGAGCAUGUUCAAGUUCUGCGGAAAUUAUUUUUGAGACUAAGAAAUUUCCAGCUCAAGCUUAAUCCAACAAAGUACACCUUUGGGGCUAGAUCGGGGAAGUUGUUGGGCUUCGUAGUCAGUGGGAAAGGAAUUGAAGUUGAUCCAGAAAAAGUCAGGGCAAUACGUGAUUUGCCUCCACCACACACUCAGAAAGAAGCACGGGGUUUUUUGGGAAGACUGAAUUAUAUUUCUCAGUUUCUUUCACAACUGACUGAGAAAUGUGAUCCUAUAUUCCGUCUUCUAAAGAAGCAUAAUCCGGGCGUAUGGGAUGAAGAAUGCCAGAAGGCUUUUGACAAAAUAAAACAAUAUUUGUCUAAUCCUCUAGUGCUAGCACCACCUAAUCCGGAUAGGCCAUUAAUAUUGUAUUUAAUAGUAUUUGACAAUUCCAUGGGGUGCGUGUUAGGCCAACAUGAUGAGACAGGGAGAAGAGAAAGGGCAAUAUAUUAUCUCAGUAAGAAGUUCACUGAUUGUGAAGCGAGAUACUCGGCUAUUGAGAAGUUGUGUUGUGCUUUGGUUUGGACAACUCGAAGAUUACGACAAUAUAUGUUGUAUCACACGACAUUGGUAAUUUCAAAGUUAGACCCCUUAAAGUAUAUGAUGGAGUCGACUGCUUUGAAUGGGAGGAUGGCUAGAUGGCAGAUCUUGCUUUCUAAAUUUGACAUAGUGUAUGUGAGUCAGAAAGCUGUGAAAGGGAGCGCAAUUGGCGACUUCACUAGGGACUUCGAGAGUCGAGCCAUAAAUUGAUUAUUUGGUGUCUUUUUGUCGAAAAUUAAAGUUUUUUUUAAAAAAAAUCAUAAUUUUCCUUUGCAUUCAUUGAUUUGCAUUGUUUGCUUGUUUUGCUUAAGUCUGUUAUCUUAUUUGCAUUUUGCAUCUCAUAACGUCGGUCGUUUUUACCCCUCUAAGUGGGAGUGAGAAGCUACUCCUUCGUGAGGUUUUCACCUCCGUGCAGGAUAGUUGAUCACUUUCGGGAUACAUCACUUAUGUCUUCGUGAGAUUUUCAUCUCCGUGCAGCCAUAAGGAAAUGUAUUCCCCUGAACCGAACUCGGUCCAUAUGAGCCUAUAAUAGGUGAGGAUCGAGGAAUCUACUGGUUCGGGUACCUUUGCUCUAGAAGCCAAACCUCAUAUAGUGGACCUUUAGGAACUCACCCUAGGUAGACUUACUCUUAACCUUAGUAGAAACCUAAUUAGGAGUUUUACUAUUUCUUGGUUAUAUUGUAUUUAAUUGAUGCUGACUUUUUGUGUUUUACUUUGAUUACAUGACAUUUCAAUUACAUGGCAUCUCAUUAUAGAAAGGCGUUGGUUCACAUUCAAUUGCUAAAUAGAAAGCUUAUCAUGGGAAAUGGGUUUCUUGAUAGAGUGGAAGAUAAUGCGGCUGUCCGAACUUGGGCUGAAAUCACACAGCGCAAGAAAGGUGAUAGCUUGGCCGAGGGGUACAUAUCCGAAUUGUGGGACUUCACCCGUGUUAGCGUAACCCAGAACAACUUGCAGGAGUUGAAAGAAAUUUGGGAGCAGUGUAAUGAUGAGGUUAGACAAUAUAACUUUCAAAUCUCUUUUAUAUAUGCAUAUAUAUCCAUAUUUUUUAAAAAAAUUACUAGUAUAUUAUGUUUAUAAUUUUAUUUUUAUUUUAUAAAUUUUAUAAAUUUUAUUUAUUUUUAUUUUUAUUUUUAUUUUAUUAUUUUUGUUAUUUUUGUAUACAUGUAUAUAUAUGCAUCAAUAUCUUAUCAUACUUUUUAAAAAUAAAUAUUUUUAUUUUAUCAAAACAUUAAAAUUAUUUUUUAUGAUUCAAAGGUUUUCAAAAUAAAAACGAUAUUCAAAGUUAGGAAUGUUCGAGGAAAAUUGAGCCCUAACGUAUUGGGUUCCGAUUUUCUUUGUUAAUUCCAAAUAACCGAGAAUAUUCGUUAUUUAAAAUAUAAACAAAAAUCAUUUUCGGGAAUUUAAUAUGUUAUGUCCUAACGCAUUGGGCAUGACAUAUUACUUUCUCAAAAUGAAGAUUUUCUUUAACAAUUUAAUGAAAAAGCGAUAUUCAAAUUCGGGGAUUUUGAGAAAUUGUACCCUAACGUAUUGGGUCUCAAUUUCUUCACAUGACUUGAAUAAUUGAUUAUCCUUUUCAGAUUUCAAAAUUUGAGUUCAACAAAAUCUUUUUAAUUUUCGACACCAAGACAUUAAAUAAUCAAUUUGGUACCGAUUUUUGGGCGUUACGAGGGUGCUAACCCUUCCUCGUACGUAACUGACUCCCGAACUUGUUUUCUCAAAUUUCGCAAGCCAAAAUUGUUUUUAAGGUGAACCGAUCACACCUCAAUCAAGGAUCGGUGGCGACUCCAAUUUUUGUUUUUAAAGUCGAUAACUAAAUUAUUGUUUUUCAAAAAAUGGUUUCGACAGCUUGGCGACUCCACUGGAGACUUCGAGAGUCGAGCCAUAAAUUGAUUAUUUGGUGUCUUUUUGUCGAAAAUUAAAGUUUUUUUUAAAAAAAAUCAUAAUUUUCCUUUGCAUUCAUUGAUUUUCAUUGUUUGCUUGUUUGGCUUAAGUCUGUUAUCUUAUUUGCAUUUUGCAUCUCAUAACGUCAGUCGUUUUUACCCCUCUAAGUGGGAGUGAGAAGCUACUCAUUCGUGAGGUUUUCACCUCCGUGCAGGAUAGUGGAUCACUUUCGGGAUACAUCACUUAUGUCUUCGUGAGAUUUUCAUCUCCGUGCAGCCAUAAGGGAAUGUAUUCCCCUGAACCGAACUCGGUCCAUAUGAGCCUAUAAUGGGUGAGGUCAAGGAAUCUGCUGGUUCGGGUACCUUUGAUCUAGAAGCCAAACCACAUAUAGUGGACCUUUAGGAACUCACCCUAGGUAGACUUACUCUUAACCUUAGUAGAUACCUAAUUAGGAGUUUUACUAUUUCUUGGUUAUAUUGUAUUUAAUUGAUGCUAACUUUUUGUGUUUUACUUUGAUUGCAUGACAUUUCAAUUACAUGGCAUCUCAUUAUAGAAAGGCGUUGGUUCACAUUCGAUUGCUAAAUAGAAAGCUUAUCAUGGGAAAUGAGUUUCUUGAUAGAGUGGAAGAUAAUGCGGCUGUCCGAACUUGGGCUGAAAUCACACAGCGCGAGAAAGGUGAUAGCUUUGCCGAGGGGUACAUAUCCGAAUUGUGGGACUUCACUCGUGUUAGCGUAACCCAGAACAACUUGCAGGAGUUGAAAGAAAUUUGGGAGCAGUGUAAUGAUGAGGUUAGACAGUUAUUUUAUUCAAAUUAUGGGGAUUUGCCUUAUUUGCUUGAUAUGAAGGUGGAUAAACGUCUCUUUCAGGCUCUCGCACAAUUUUGGAACCCCGCUUAUAGUUGUUUCACGUUUGGGAGGGUUGAUUUGGUGCCUACAAUAGAAGAAUACACGGCUUUACUUCGGUGUUCGAAGAUUCAAGUGGAUAAGGUUUAUUCGAAGGCUGUAAAUGCACUGACCUUUUUGAAGAGGUUGAUGAGUAUAACGGGGAUGAGUGACCAGUGGGUCACAGCUCGGAUCAGGCAAAAGGGAGAUAGCAAGUGUAUUCCCUAGAAAAUUUUGAAGGAUCUCAUUCUAGCGCACCCGGAUGCAAGGAAGAAGGUAGAUGUCUUUGCUUUAAGUAUAUAUGGUUUGGUUAUGUUCCCUAAGACUUUGGGGCAUGUUGACGAGGCAGUCACUGACUUAUUUGAUUGGCUUGAAAAGAGAGUUACACUAGUCCCGGCAAUUUUGGCAGAAACCUUCAGGUCACUGAAUGCAUGCCGGAGAGCGGGAGAGGGUAGGUUUAUUGGAUGUGCGCAGCUCUGACUUGCAUGGUUCCAUAGUCACUUUUGGAAGGUCGAUAAGGUUUCAUAUCGGAUCUUCUCUGACAAUUAUUCACCAUUGAAAGAGAUAGUGGCUACACCGAGGAGGGAUGACAUCUCGGAAGAGAAAUGGAUGGCUAUUUUUCAAAAUUUGCAGGAGGGCGAUAUCGAGUGGAGAGCCUCAUGGUUGCUUCCGGGUGAGAUCCUAUAUUGAUGUGGGGAUUUUGACUGGGUUCCUUUGAUUGGGAUUUGGGGAGCCGUUGGUUAUGCACCAUUGCUAGUACUUAGGCAAUACAGGUCAAGACAGUUCGUGCCUACAACUCAGGGAUUGGCUGAGUGUGAGUUCUUGUAUAGGGGCGAUGGUUACAAGAGGAGGGUUCGUGAGAUGGUCAGUGCAUAGAAUCAGACUCGCCGAAUGAAGGGAUUAGCUGUGGGUCUGAUAAUAACUCCCGAGUACGACGAAUGGUGGGCUAAGAGGAUUAACGAUAACAUUCCUGGGCCGGGUUCAGAAGAUAGUCCGCCAAUAGAGGAGUACUUGCGUGUUGUCCCUACUGAGCUGGAAAUUAUAAAGCAAGACUUCAAAAGGAAAAAUGCAGAAUUAGAGAGGACAAUCGAGCAGAUGGAGGAAAAAAAGUGAAUUUGAGACUAGAUGCCGAUGUUCAGAAGCUCGAGGCUGAUAAACUAAGGAAGGGGAAGCACAAAGCUGAGGAAGAGUUAGAUAGCUUGAAGACUGAUUACAAGAAGCUGCGUCUGUCCAUGAGAACUGCCGGGCUUGGAAAGGCUUCAGAGCAGUGGCAUGAAGAAAUUCGAGAGGAAAGAAACAAGUCAGACCGGUGGGAAAGAAAAUUCCAAGAAGUGCAAGCACGAAAUGAAGCCUUGGAGAAUAGCUUGUCAGAGAGUCAAAAGGAAAAAGGAAAACUAAAGGACAGAGUCGUUGAGUUAGAAGGGUCUCUCCGUCAACACAGAAGUCGAAAUUCUGUAAUAGAGCUGAAAGCAAGUCUGAGCAAGAUUGAAGAAAUGAAGGGUAAAAUAGAAGAGUUGAAAGCAGCAUUACGAAGUUGUGAGGGUCGGAUCGAGCAUCUAGAGGUAAAGGAAGGUCGUCAGAAUGAGCAACUUCAUUAUUUCCAAGAUCAAGUCAGAAAUAGGGAUCGCGUUAUGGGAGAGGCUGUGGUGCAGAUUCGUGAAGUGGCAGAUCACUUGCAAACUUUGGCGGUACAAGCAGACACGUUGAGCGUAAAGUAUGAGCUAGAUUCAGAUCGAGGGCAAGAAUUAGCAUCGUUGCUUAAAAAGAUCAAGGUCUUAAGUAUUAGGGCAAAGCCAUAUUUGUAGCCCAUUCUAUGUAAAGAGAUUUAUUUUCUAAUAAAGUUUCUGAAAGUAAUUGAAAUUAGAAUCAAUGCCUUCUCUGCAUUCAUUUUCAUAUAUCGCAUUGCAUGCAUUAAAAAAUUAGCAAAGGGUUCUGAUUAAUCAAAAUCUUUCCUCAGUUAACCUGGAAUCUAACCAGCCAACUCAGCACCGUUACGGUACAAGAGCGAAAUUAAAAAAUAUGGACCAAAGGUUGGAAAAGCUCGAAGGAUUCCAAAAAGAAAUGCAAGAUCAGCUUCAGCAGCAAAUGAAGGAGCAACUCAAAAAGAUUCAACAAAGUUUGAUGAAUAAAAUGGAGGAAUCACAAUGAAGUAUGAUGACAAAGUAGACGCGAUUGUUGACUGAAUGAAAGGAUAAAGGAAAGAGCCCUGUAACAAAUAUUGAAGAGGAAGGUGAGGAUGGACUCCAGUAUCCUCCAGGCUUCACUCCUUUACAUGUGCAGCACCAAGCGGAAGUGUACCCGCGUAAAUCUUCUGUUACGAUUAGGCCUCAGCAAUUUCAAGCCGAUGCUUCAAGAUCGAUGAAUUUUUAGGACGGAUCAGGCUCCAGUCCUAAGAAUAAUUCUGCCAAUCUUAUUAUUACUGAUUUCGAUGAAGCAGUUGAAAAAGAGAAAACAAAAGAAGAAUUACCAAAGCAAUUGAAAGAUAGAAGUGGAUUGAGGAAAAAUUCAAAGCAAUAGAAACUACUGAAAGAUGCCAUGGGAUUGAUGCUAAGGAUUUAAGUUUGGUACCGGAUUUAGUACUUCCGUACAAGUUUAAAAUACCGGAUUUCGAGAAGUAUAAUGGGACCACCUGCCCUGAAGCUUACAUUACUAUGUUUUGUAGACGAAUGACUGGGUAUGUUAAUAACGACCAGUUAUUGAUACACUGUUUUUAGGAUAGCCUCGCGGGGGCGGCGUCUAAAUGGUAUAAUCAAUUAAGCCGUGCUAAGAUUAGCUCUUGGAGGGAUUUAGCACAGGCUUUUAUGAAGCAGUAUAGACAUGUGGCGAAAAUUGUUCCUGAUAGGAUCACUUUACAAAAUAUGGAGAAAAAGUCGAAUGAAGGUUUUAGACAAUAUGCUCAGAGGUGGAGAGAGGUGGCAGUGCAGGUCCAACCACCGCUUCUUGAAAGAGAAAUGACGAUGCUCUUUGUAAAUACGCUAAAGGCCCCUUUCAUCACACACAUGCUAGGCAGUGCCACGAAAAAUUUUACUGAUAUAGUCAUGAGUUGUGAGAUGAUUGAAAAUGCUAUAAAGAGUGGGAAGAUUGAUGUUGGAGAGAACAACAGAAGACAAAACUCAAAGAAAAAAGAAAGUGAGGUAAACAACGUGAAUACAUACAAUAAGUCAAUUACGGUGAAUCAGCCCAGGAAGGUAGUGACAGGUUAACAAGGUUCAUCAAAACAGGAAUCUGGUACAAGGCCAAGUAAUGAGAGGCCUCAGUUUACACCCAUUCCUAUGUCAUAUAAAAAGUUGUAUCAAAAUUUAUUCAACGCGCACGUUGUUGCCCCAUUUUAUUUGACCCCUUUACAGCCUCCAUAUCCUAAAUGGUAUGAUGCAAAUGCACAAUGCGAUUACCAUGCAGGAGUUACGCGGCACUCCAUAGAGCAUUGUACUGCUUUUAAAAAGCUUGUUGAGAAGCUCAUUCAGAUGGGUGUUGUCAAGAUAGAUGAUUCAUCUGGUACGAAAAAUCCAUUACCCAAACAUACUGAUGCAGGGUAAACAUGGUAGGUGAAGGUACGGGGAAGAAGGUCAAGGAGAAUAUUGCUAAGGUAAGGAUCCCUUUGAGAAGGGUUUGGAAGGAAAUGGUAAGAAGAGGGUUGAUUGUUUCGGAUGUGGUGGAGAGUGACGAGACCCAAAAUUAUUGUGAGUUCCAUCAUGAGGUGGGACAUGAAAUUCAGGGAUGUGAGAAGUUCAGAUCUCUGAUCCAAAGCAUGAUGGAUAUUGGAGAAAUGGAGUUUUUUGAAGAGGAAGAAAGAAAAGAAAAUAUAUGCGCAUCGGAGUCAGAAACGAGGAUUCCGAAGAUAAUCAUCUCGCACCCUAGGGUUACUGAAGUCAGGGCACAAAUGACAUCGAAGAUUGUUAUUCAAAAGCCGGUGAAGUUUUUGUAUAAGGAUAACAAGAAGGUCCCUUGGAAUUAUGAAUGCGAGGUAGCGGUUUCGGGGAAAGAAGCUUCAGUUAGGGUUGAGAAAGAAAACAAAAAGACAGGUUCUUAUACGAAUACCGAUGAGUACUGUGGUUGGAUAAAUGCUAAAACAGAGUCGGUGGAGGGAAAAGUCCUUGCAGCAGAGCAAAAGAAAGAGAAGAAGGCUGAAUUAAGGUCAUUGAUUAAUGAGCCAAUAAAGGAAACAAUGAAAAUCAAUGAAUGCUAAGGAAAAUUAUGAUUUUUUAAAAAAAAAACUUUAAUUUUCGACAAAAAGACACCAAAUAAUCAAUUUAUGGCUCGACUCUCGAAGUCCCCAGUGGAGUCGCCAAGCUGUCGAAACCAUUUUUUGAAAAACAAUAAUUUAGUUAUCGACUUUAAAAACAAAAAUUGGAGUCGCCACCGAUCCUUGAUUGAGGUGUGAUCGGUUUACCUUAAAAACAAUUUUGGCCUGCGAAAUUUGAGAAAACAGGUUCGGGAGUCAGUUAUGUACGAGGAAGGGUUAGCACCCUCGUAACGCCCAAAAAUCGGUACCAAAUUGAUUAUUUAAUGUCUUGGUGUCGAAAAUUAAAAAGAUUUUGUUGAACUCAAAUUUUGAAAUCUGAAAAGGAUAAUCAAUUAUUCAAGUCAUGUGAAGAAAUUGAGACCCAAUACGUUAGGGUACAAUUUCUCAAAAUCCCCGAAUUUGAAUAUCACUUUUUCAUUAAAUUGUUAAAGAAAAUCUUCAUUUCGAGAAAGCAAUAUGUCAUGCCCAAUGCGUUAGGACAUAACAUAUUAAAUUCCCGAAAAUGAUUUUUGUUUAUAUUUUAAAUAACGAAUAUUCUCGGUUAUUUGGAAUUAACAAAGAAAAUCGGAACCCAAUACGUUAGGGCUCAAUUUUCCUCGAAAAUCCCUAACUUUGAAUAUCGUUUUUAUUUUGAAAACCUUUGAAUCAUAAAAAAUAAUUUUAAUGUUUUGAUAAAAUCAAAAUAUUUAUUUUUAAAAAGUAUGAUAAGAUAUUGAUGCAUAUAUACAUGUAUACAAAAAUAACAAAAAUAACAAAAUAAAAAUAAAUAAAAUAAAAUUUAUAAAAUAAAAAUAAAAUUAUAAACAUAAUAUACUAGUAAUUUUUAAAAAAAAUAUGGAUAUAUAUGCAUAUAUAAAAGAGAUUUGAAAGUUAUAUUUAUAAAAGUGUCGAAUAAUGUAGGUAUAUAUAUAUACAAAUUAUAAAAAAUAUUUGGACUAUAAGAUAGAGGAAAUAUAUAAGUGUUAUAAAAUACGAAUAUAUACGCAUACAUAUGUACAUAAAGCUAAGAAAACUAAAGUAAUAAUAAAAUAUAUGAUAUGUAUAUAGUAUAUAUAUUUACAACAUUUAAGAAAUAAAAAAAAACGUGUGUUAAUAUGCAUAUGCGGUAAGUAUAAUAAUAAAAAUAUAUAAUAUAAUAAUAAUAAACUAAUAAUCAUUCAGUAAUAAUAAUGUAAUAUAUAAAAAAACCCAAAAUAGCAAAUUAAGGAUUAAACUAAAAAAACAAAAAAAUUUGAGUGCUGAAUUUGAAAAUAAAAACAAAAAAGGAGUAAUUCAAAACAUGCGCAACAGGGGAAGGACUGAAGGAGUAAAUUACCCAAAAAACACUGCACAACAAUGCGCAACAUUGGAUUAAAUCAAAACAUUAACAAUGUUUCAUGGAAAAAUUUGAAAAUAAUAAUAAAAAAAGAAAAAACAGUGAUUUUGAAAACCAUAAAAAACUGAAGGGCCUAAAUUAUAAAUAACCCAUCAACUUAAAAUCAAACAAAAACCCCCUUUUUAAACCCUAAAAAGAGCAUUUUCUUUCUUUCUUUGACAUUGCACCGUAAUGUUCUCCUUCUGCCCUCCUCUGCUCCUAUGGCGAUGAAACAAAGGAGCUUCAACGACGCCACACCGGUAAGUUCCCUUUACUCCCUUCCUCGUUUUGUUUAUUUGUUGUUUUUUAGAAGCAAAAGAAAAAAACUAAAAUAAAUUUUUUUAAAAAAAAGUAAAGGAACAGAGAAAAAUAAAACCAAAUCCCACCUUCAAAAAUAUUUUUCUGUAUAUUUUCUUUUUGAUUUCGGUACAAAAAAAAAUUUGCUAAACUCGUUACAAAGAUCGAUUGGCCCUUAUAUAGCCGAAUAAUAAUAAAAAACAAGCCCUCGAAAACUUCCCCCAUUUACAAUUUUGUCAUAUUUUCUGCCAUUAUCGAUUGUUUGUUGUAUGUGUAUGGAAAACGUGCGUUGUGCGGGGCUACUGGACGUGCGAGCAAGAACGUGGAGCAACGGGACAGUUGCUGCGACAUGAGGACGUGUGCGGCGCUGGGAAAACUGCCUGGGGUUUCUGCUGAUCUUUGAACUUUUUGGGCCACUCUGUAAUUGGGCUAGGGUUAAUGGUUUGGUCUUUAUUGGGUUGAAUUGGUUGAAUGGGUUUAGGUUAUUUGUAAAAAUGGAUUAUGUAUUUAUUUGGGCCCGGGCAAAAAUGGCCUAUUACACUAAUUACUGUGGAGCAUGCACCCGCUUGUGCAAGAACGAUGGGAACUUAUUUCAGCUGGACAUUCAUGUAUUUUCCAACUUCAAUGAAGCCAAUUUAAUGAAGAACAUGCACCCGAUUGUGCAUAUAUUUUUGAG